UACGUAGGGCGCAAGCGUUAUCCGGAAUUAUUGGGCGUAAAGAGCUCGUAGGCGGUUUGUCGCGUCUGCCGUGAAAGUCCGGGGCUCAACUCCGGAUCUGCGGUGGGUACGGGCAGACUAGAGUGAUGUAGGGGGAGACUGGAAUUCCUGGUGUAGCGGUGAAAUGCGCAGAUAUCUGGAGGAACACCGGUGGCGAAGGCGGCAUCCUGGACCGGCAUUGACGCUGAGGCGCGAAAGCCAGGGGAGCAAAGCGGG
Molecule: ribosomal RNA, 255 nt
Filed under: uncultured bacterium
Lineage: Bacteria
Description: partial 16S ribosomal RNA
Rfam family: Bacterial small subunit ribosomal RNA
Source: RNAcentral